AGCGAACGCUGGCGGCAGGCUUAACACAUGCAAGUCGAACGGGCGUAGCAAUACGUCAGUGGCAGACGGGUGAGUAACGCGUGGGAACGUACCUUUUGGUUCGGAACAACCCAGGGAAACUUGGGCUAAUACCGGAUAAGCCCUUACGGGGAAAGAUUUAUCGCCGAAAGAUCGGCCCGCGUCUGAUUAGCUAGUUGGUGUGGUAACGGCGCACCAAGGCGACGAUCAGUAGCUGGUCUGAGAGGAUGAUCAGCCACAUUGGGACUGAGACACGGCCCAAACUCCUACGGGAGGCAGCAGUGGGGAAUAUUGGACAACGGGCGCAAGCCUGAUCCAGCCAUGCCGCGUGAGUGAUGAAGGCCCUAGGGUUGUAAAGCUCUUUUGUGCGGGAAGAUAAUGACGGUACCGCAAGAAUAAGCCCCGGCUAACUUCGUGCCAGCCGCCGCCGU
This 449-nucleotide ribosomal RNA is filed under the name uncultured bacterium. RNAcentral describes it as "bacterial SSU rRNA". It matches the Rfam family "Bacterial small subunit ribosomal RNA", at positions 29 to 521 of the family's 1533-position model. The record is from RNAcentral.